AGAGGGUGACACUCCCGUCCGCCUGGUAGAAUGAGUCUUUGUUCAACGAGUCGAGUUGUUUGGGAUUGCAGCUCUAAUUUGGUGGUAAAUUCCAUCUAAAGCUAAAUAUUGGUGGGAGACCGAUAGCGUACAAGUACCGUGAGGGAAAGAUGCAAAGAACUUUGAAAAGAGAGUUAAAGAGUACCUGAAAUUGCUGAAGCGGAAGCGAAGGAAACCAGUGUUUGUUUGUUCAUAUUUCCCUGGCCACUUGUGGUUUGGGCGCUGUGGGCUUGCGUGGGUUUACUUUGGUUGAUCCCUUUGGAAGAGCGCAGUCAGAGUUGAUGUCU
RNAcentral lists this ribosomal RNA (326 nucleotides) under Pseudo-nitzschia hasleana. Its description in RNAcentral is "partial large subunit ribosomal RNA". It matches the Rfam family "Eukaryotic large subunit ribosomal RNA", at positions 207 to 544 of the family's 3401-position model. Lineage: Eukaryota; Bacillariophyta; Bacillariophyceae; Bacillariales; Bacillariaceae. The record is from RNAcentral.